This 205-nucleotide long non-coding RNA is filed under the name Mytilus galloprovincialis (Mediterranean mussel). The record is from RNAcentral. Lineage: Eukaryota; Metazoa; Mollusca; Bivalvia; Mytilida; Mytilidae.
UGAUGUGGCAUUUCAAACGGAGAAAACGACAAAUUUAAUCCACAUCUCAGGUUGAAGACGGCAAAUACAACACCCUGACAGCUGUAAUAUAAGGGGGGGGGGGGCGAAAGAUACCAAAGGACAUUCAAACUCUUGAGUCGAAAAUAAACUGACAACAAUAUGGCUAAAAAAUAAAAUAAAACAACAGACAAACGUUAUUACACAC